CAGAGGUGCCAGACUAGACAAUAGGAGAAGGCUUGUUUCUCAGUCCUCAAACGGACCCGUGGCCUGAGAGAUGUGAGGCCAUAGACCCUGUGCUCCACAUGCCACACAGAAACUGCAGGCUAUGAGCUGCUUCCAGGACUCAGCUCCAGGAUUCAUAAAGGAAGACGGGAAGGAAGAAUUUCCAAGUGUCAGCACAACUACGAAAAGAAAUGUUCUUUGACCGAAGCUACCUGAGGUUUCUGUGGUCACGGUGUUUCAGCGCAGCGAUAGAAACCUGCCUAAGGCAACAAGUCAAGAAGCACCAAGAGAUCUUUUGAGGUGGGAAGAUCCAUCUUCAAUCUGGGCCUUACCUUCUGGUGGCGGCUUAUAUAAUGGACCUGGAAGGAGAAAUUUCGCUCUUGCCUGCUUGCCCUUCCUCUCGUUGGCAGGUCCACCCUCCACUGGUAGUAGCGUCUACUUCUUCAGCAUUCCAGCAUAGAUGGAAGACUGGCUGAGACAUCCAGCACUGUAGACCGAACAGCUACUGGGUUCUUGGACUUUCCAAUGGGAGACAGCAUUGUUGGAAUAAUUGGACCAUAACUUGUAAUCCACUCUAAUAAAUUACACAUACACAGAGA
Arvicola amphibius (Eurasian water vole) is the source of this 617-nucleotide long non-coding RNA. RefSeq lists it as uncharacterized. NCBI's taxonomy places the organism in Eukaryota, Metazoa, Chordata, Mammalia, Rodentia, Cricetidae. The record is from RefSeq and is a predicted model, not a curated record. The transcript has 4 exons.